Molecule: non-coding RNA, 72 nt
Organism: Bos taurus (domestic cattle)
Lineage: Eukaryota; Metazoa; Chordata; Mammalia; Artiodactyla; Bovidae
Source: Rfam
UCCCUGGUGGUCCAGUGGUUAGGACUCAGAUUUUUCACUGCUGUGGCCUGGAUUUAAUCCCUAGUUGGGGAA